UUAAAUAGCUGCAGUAUUUAUAACUGUACAAAGGUAGCAUAAUAAUUAGUUUAUUAAUUAUAAACUUGUAUGAACGAUUUAAUGAAAUAAAUACUAUUUCAAUUUAAAAUAAUAAAAUUAUUAUUUAAGUAAAAAAACUUAAAUAAAUUUAAAAGACGAGAAGACCCUUUAGAAUUUUAUAUUUAAUUGGGGUGAUUAUAAAAUUUAAAAAACUUUUAUUUAAAUAAACAAAAAUUUUUGAAUAAAAUAUAAUUUUUAAAAAAAAUAAAAUAAAUUACCUAAGGGAUAACAGCAUAA
Molecule: ribosomal RNA, 297 nt
Filed under: Schoenlandella minuta
Lineage: Eukaryota; Metazoa; Arthropoda; Insecta; Hymenoptera; Braconidae
Description: partial 16S ribosomal RNA
Source: RNAcentral